This 253-nucleotide ribosomal RNA is filed under the name uncultured bacterium. RNAcentral's name for it is "partial 16S ribosomal RNA". It matches the Rfam family "Bacterial small subunit ribosomal RNA", at positions 524 to 776 of the family's 1533-position model. The record is from RNAcentral.
UACGAAGGGGGCUAGCGUUGCUCGGAAUUACUGGGCGUAAAGGGCGCGUAGGCGGACAGUUAAGUCAGUGGUGAAAGCCCAGGGCUCAACCCUGGAAUUGCCUUUGAUACUGAUUGUCUUGAGUAUGGGAGAGGUAUGCGGAACUCCGAGUGUAGAGGUGAAAUUCGUAGAUAUUCGGAAGAACACCAGUGGCGAAGGCGGUAUACUGGCCCAUUACUGACGCUGAAGCUCGAAAGCGUGGGGAGCAAACAGG